Molecule: long non-coding RNA, 262 nt
Organism: Polistes dominula (European paper wasp)
Lineage: Eukaryota; Metazoa; Arthropoda; Insecta; Hymenoptera; Vespidae
Source: RefSeq, a predicted model, not a curated record
AAAGAAUUUUUUUUUCUUACGGAAUUCCCAGCAAGAAAAAAUAAAAGUAAAGUCUAUUGCUGUGUAUUUGGUUGUACAAACAUAGCUUGUCGUGAUGAAAAAAUUAGGUUUUUUACCUUCACCUAUUGAUUCAACUCGAACUUAUUUAAAAAAAACAAGUAUUCCUAGUCAAAAUCUUCCUUUAGGAUCAUCCAAAGAAUGUGCUUGUCCUGUAGAUCAAAUAGAUUCUCGAGAAGAAAGAAUACGUAGAAGAUCAAUUAAA